GCAGGGAUAGCCAAGCUUGGUCAAAGGCGCAGGACUCAGAGUUCUGGGGACCAGCUUCGGAACCUUCUUUUCGUAAUCCGAGUACUUCCUGCC
Molecule: transfer RNA, 93 nt
Filed under: Microcaldota archaeon
Lineage: Archaea; Nanobdellati; Microcaldota
Description: tRNA-Leu
Source: RNAcentral